RNAcentral lists this ribosomal RNA (376 nucleotides) under uncultured bacterium. RNAcentral describes it as "bacterial SSU rRNA". It matches the Rfam family "Bacterial small subunit ribosomal RNA", at positions 524 to 898 of the family's 1533-position model. The record is from RNAcentral.
UACGUAGGGGGCAAGCGUUGUCCGGAUUUAUUGGGCGUAAAGCGCGUGUAGGUGGCCAAGUAGGUCAGCUGUGAAAACUUGAGGCUCAACCUCAAGCUGUCGGUUGAAACCACUUGGCUAGAGUCCGGAAGAGGAGAGUGGAAUUCCUGGUGUAGCGGUGAAAUGCGCAGAUAUCAGGAAGAACACCAAUGGCGAAGGCAGCUCUCUGGGACGGUACUGACACUGAGACGCGAAAGCGUGGGGAGCGAACAGGAUUAGAUACCCUGGUAGUCCACGCUGUAAACGAUGGGUGCUAGGUGUGGGCGGUGUCGACUCCGUCCGUGCCGAAGCUAACGCAUUAAGCACCCCGCCUGGGGAGUACGGCCGCAAGGCUAAA